Molecule: long non-coding RNA, 2953 nt
Organism: Melopsittacus undulatus (budgerigar)
Lineage: Eukaryota; Metazoa; Chordata; Aves; Psittaciformes; Psittaculidae
Exons: 3
Source: RefSeq, a predicted model, not a curated record
GCUCAGGGUAUCGGGAUCGCUCACUAUGUGGCCUUGACUCUUUAAGAAUUCCCACACCUGCUCCAAGUACCCGCCGAGCUAUGGAGGAGGCUGCCACAACAACCUCUGCUACAAAGUCCCCUCUUCUCACCAGAUUACCAUUACGAAGAUCCCAUCAUCACUAAAACGGAUGAGAUGAAUGAAGUGGAGAUUUCACAGGUUGCAGAGCAGAAGCUGGUGUGGUUCUACCCUCUGGAAAGCAAGGCCAGCAAACCCAUCAAGCCCAAGAAAGUCGUCCCAGAGUCCUACAUGAGCAAGACAGCCUCUUUUUUCCUUAACUCCUAUAAAUUUCUAUGGGAAGAGGUGUAGAAAGUGAUGAGGAGGCUCAGGGAAAAAGUAACAGGGAGGAUGUUUGAGUGGAGGGGGAGGAAAUCUGUGUGAAAAUUCAUUGUUCAUUAGAGCAGAAGCCUACCAGAAGUGGAAAGAAAAGCUUUCAAAAGCCACUCGUGCCUUCUGCAUAUAAUCUGCUAUAGUUAUUUGUUCUUUUAAGCCAUCUCAAGGAGGUAUCAAUGAACCAAAGGUCCUCUGAUCAGUAAUCAAUUUAAGAUAUAUUGGUUUUAUUUUCCAUUCACAAUGCUUCACACUCAGCAGUUUACCCUUGGCAGGUUUUCUGGGUUUUUUAGUUUGCUUCUUUCUUAUUUCUUGCUUGGGGAAGAUUUUUGAAGAUAUUUGUGGAGCUGGUAGUACUUCCUCAGUUGUUUUCUGCCUGUUGUUAAUUAAAAGAGACUUAUUGUGAAAACAAGGUGAGGGAAGCCAAUGCAUCCUUUUCAAGUUUAUCUUCCAGCAUCUCAAGAGUCUGUAAUUAAAUAGAGUAUGAGAGCUCCGGCUUGCAGACAUCAGGCUGUACAUCAAAGCCUUCAACUGUCAGAUGUUUCUUCCUUGCUAAUAUUUCCGAAGACACCUGUCUCAGGUGAAGGACUAAAGAAGCACAAACUGCUCCAGGCUAAGAUUUUAUCAUGCUGCACCAAAGACCUCCAGGAAAGAUGCAUGGUGGCUGCUCAUUUUCAUAUCUCAAGAGCAAUCUCUUUCCUUUUUAAAAUACUUCUUUAUUUUUUCUCCUCAGCACAAGUCAUAACAUGUGAAACCAAGAUAAAUGCAGAAGCUCAACAUGCAACAGGUAGGGUUUGAUUGAUACUUCUUGGAGCGCUGCAGGAAAAAGCGGCUUAAAAAUAUCUAGUUUUUGAAAAUAUAUGACAUGGAGCUUUUUUGAUUUUUUUUUGUGAUUAUCUAGGUAGAUCUCUUUAAAAAUAUAGCCUUCAGCCAAGUCUAGCAGUAAGGUGACUCAGUUUAUUCAGCCAUGAGGACCCACAGUUUCAGGUGUCCAAAAUAAUUUAAAAAAUUUUGGCAGUGUCCCUUUUUGAGCCUUUUUCAUGCAUUCCACCACUGUCCAAGCCAGACAUGGUUUGUCCCCUCCCAGUCAGUCAAGAAUUUCUGGUUAAGGUUUCUGCAAAGAACAGGACAGUUUAUCACUUGGAGAAAACCCAAAUCCACAGAAUCUAAGUAUUGGUUGGGGUUUUAAGGAAGGUAGAGAAACUGUUUUAAAAAGUAGCUAUUUUGCAAUCUUGUUUUAAAAUGGAAGAGUUACAUGAAAUGAAUGGAAUGACUACUAAGAGUCAAAGUCUGUUUUUCUUAAAUUGUUUUUUUGCUACCCUCAAAGAUAUAUAUCUUUACUAGGUAUUUGUGCCCAGCUGGCUACUUGUACAGUAAGGGAAAGAUCUUUGGAACAUUUUAUUAUGAAAGUGUGAGUACAUUGUCAUAGCUCAUAGAUGUAAUUUGUGGGGAGUUAGUGGUAAUAACAGAAAUGGGAAAUGCCAACAAGUCCAGUGUAAUUUGGCUUUUUGUAUUCUCCAGUUGUGGUGCUGUAAAAAGGUGCUAAUAAAGAUUAUCUGUAUUUUUCUCAUCUUGACAAUGGAAAAAAGAGGCAGUCUGGAAAGCCAAAGUGAUUCCAGACUUGAUUUUAUGCCCUUAAUUUGCUAUGAAACUCAUGGAAAAUGAGGGAUGGGGAUCAAUAGACAGCUCUUACAAAGAUCUCUUCUUUAGUGUGGGCAACUGUCAUGCUGAAAAGAAACUUUAUAUGAAAAACACCACUAAAUGUUGCAACUAAAUAAUAUUUGGGGAAGAUUUGUUGGAUCUUGAAUUAGCAGGAUAAUUUAUAAAUAAUUCAUGGCAUUCUUUUCCCAUCAGAACUACUUUUGGGGUGAAGGAAGGUUGAAGAUAAAAGGGGGUUUGUCUAAAAAGCAUGUUUGCUUUCCCCAUUCUCACUGUUGGUGCAUGACUGCAUCACCCAUGAUACAUCUUUGCCCUGCAACUUAUGUGAUUGCAGACAGCCACCUCAUCCAAGUGGUUUCAGCAGAAGUAUUUUGGAUUUGGAUGUUUUCUUGAGAGCUGGAAAUAUUUCAUGCUGGUCACUUAUUUCCGAUGCUGCUUUUCUGCUAAAUUGUAUCUAAAUGUCAGGGGUUUUUUAUAAAAAAAAAAAAAAAAAGCUUGCCAUUCAACCAGGCAGCACUUAAAAUACUAACAGCAAUAAUAAAGCUAUUUUGGGAGAGUAAGAUUUAACAACCAAAUUCCAAAGGAAUGUACUCAGAUUAUUUUCCAUUUGGCACUUUGGUGGUGGUUUCAUUUUUUCUUAAUUUUUUUCACAGAGGUUGGUCAGUAUUGCUGUGUGAAUGAGAUUUAUUUUGCAUACUAUUUGUAUUUGUGCUCUUGUCAGUCAUCAAGCAUAUGCUGUGCUGCAAUUCAUUAUGGCAUCCUAGAUAAUAAAGGAGGACUGGUUGAUAUCACGAGGAAGGGAAGGAUACUGGCUUUUGUGAAGUCUACCUGGAAUGGUGUGGAGUCUUUUAGAUAUGACUUGCUGAGGGGGUUGGCUUGAGAAAGGACGCCUGUGGCACCGGAGCGGAGCCGGGGGAGAUCAGUG